Long non-coding RNA from Helianthus annuus (common sunflower), 435 nucleotides. RefSeq lists it as uncharacterized. The transcript is spliced from 3 exons. NCBI's taxonomy places the organism in Eukaryota, Viridiplantae, Streptophyta, Magnoliopsida, Asterales, Asteraceae. The record is from RefSeq and is a predicted model, not a curated record.
GAAAAAAGGGCAAACAAGGAAGCGAAAAACAGAUGAUCAAAAGAUCGCUGAAAUUAGGAGUUGGUAUCCUAGUAGUGGCGAUGUCCAGCUCCGAUUAACGACGGGUGGAUUCGUAGGUCCGUCAUUCUGGUCAGCACUGCUAGGUGACGAUAACGAGGGGUGGUUGAGCGAUGAUCAUAUCUUUGGUUGGAUGAUCCACUUGUAUGAAUCGAGAGAUCGUAAUGCCCGUUGGAGUAUUUUACCACCAUAUUUCCAAAUGUAUUUUUAUGGAACGACUCUCCCUGAACAAACAUACAAGGGUUAUUACACCGGGGUCGUGGAACCUUUUCCAGCAAUUACUACAGUUGAUGAGGUGUAUGUACCUUUGCUUAUACCGCAAACACACUGGUUUCUGGGGGUUUUCAACCUGGUUAACCGUACUCUGACUGUUUACGA